RNAcentral lists this long non-coding RNA (1355 nucleotides) under Volvox carteri. Its description in RNAcentral is "long non-coding RNA (VCAR_LNC001937)". Lineage: Eukaryota; Viridiplantae; Chlorophyta; Chlorophyceae; Chlamydomonadales; Volvocaceae. The record is from RNAcentral.
AGCCUCCCUGCAAGCCUGGCUGGAGUCCGCCUGGGCAGCGGGGUUCGACAUGCUGGGCUGCGAGAGCCUGGGGGGCAAGAUACAGGUGGGGGGUUUGGGGGAUGGGGUUUGGGGUCGGGGCGGGUUUGGGGGUUGCAGGGAGGGGGGAAAGAAAUUAAGUGGUACGACCCACCCCUGCCGACACGUCCAAGGCACCCAACGGGAGGGAAAGGGGAGAGGAAAAACCGUCGGGGGGAUAAGGGGAAGAGUGUGUGUGUGUGUGUGUGUGGUGUUGAGUAAACACGGGAAAGGCGCGGGGAGGAAGUGCAAUUUUGGCUGCAUUUAUGUCAUGACAGUUUAUUCUUCCUGCUUAAUGUUACCACUACCACUACCACUACCACCGCUGCCACCCUCACUUGGAAGGUGGGUGUGUAGGGGGCUUGGGGUGCUGGGGCCGGCGCACACUCUGGCUGGCACCCCCAGCUGCUGUUUUUUCCAGCUUACGUCGCCUCUUCCUCCACGCACGUCAGUUCUUUGCUCUUCGCCGCCUUUACACCUACCUCUAGAUUAUUACGGUUGAUUUUCCUGCUCUCUUUCCGCACUUAAUUUAGUCUUUGGCGGCUAGGUAGGUAGUUUUCCGUUGUCGUCAUGACUACUAACAUCAUCGCGAGGAAUGUUUCUUCACAACCGCCGACUGGUUAGUUAUGCUUUCUUUACAUCGGCCGCAGCUCAGUCUUUCCUCCUUGGCAUCAGCUUCACUCGCUCGUGUGGUUCGUCUUUUCCCCCCCUCCCCUCCCCCCUCCUGUGCCUUCCUCGGGGAACUGCGCCGGGCAGGGAGACCGCAAAUGGAUAGGUACGACGGAGGCCGCGGCGGUUCUAAGAUCCUUCGGGGUCCGCGCACAAAUCGUGGACUUUGAGGGUGAGCUAUCUAUCUACACCUGGUGCCGUGGUUUCGAGUGAUUUGGGGUAGAAGUGGGGAAGAGGACGCGACAGUCUCCCCGAGGGGAACACCCCUUCUUCAUCCCCAAAGUCUCUUCUUCGUCCCCUUUAGGGGAACCAAAGUCGAUUUCAUAACAUGCAACAGUUGACGGUAUUGGUGAGGAGAACCUCUUGCCUUUCGCAUUCUCAUGUCUCUUGAGCUCCCGAGCCCAUGGCGGCGAAAACACGGUACGGUGUUGAAUACCACUUUGGUGCCGUACAUUACUUGCCUUAUGCGUCUCCAACGCUUUUAUUAGCCGCUUUGCACCCAACAUCGCCUGACAGGCGUCGUCAGCGCCGCUACCUCCGAUGCGCUGGAGGCGGCGGCGCCUGGAAGCGUUAUCUUCACUUCCGACGGGCCCCCUGGCGGCGGUGGCGGCCGUAGCUACGGCGGCGGC